GUGUUGACAAGCAUGGAGUUGUGCCUGAUUUAUUAGUAGAGCCAACCCAUAAAGCUGUGGUGGAGUACAGCUGGGCUUUCAUUUCAGUUCCUCAGUACUGGGGUGUGGGUGGUGGGGGAAAUGACGAUCAAAAAAGUUCUGUCCCUGAAGUCAUUGGGAUGAAAUCAAAGAAACUGGAUCAAGAUACGGGAACUGGGAAAGCAGCUUGUUUGGCAAGAAAUUACUAUACAAAGAACAUCAGCUUGGAGAUGUCCCCUGGUGAGGUUGUAUAUGAACAGAGUGCAUCCAUUUUGACAUCAGAAGGGUCUUACAAUGCUAUUAAGGUGGUGAAUGUGGCAAAUAGCCCAGAGGUGACCUGCAUGGCCAAAUACAAUGGAAGCACUAUUACAGUCAACAUAACAUCGCCAGAAAGGAAGUCUGAAGAAUCAGAAACACAGAAAGUUUGCAACACCACAGACACCUCUGCACAAGAUACCAAAGUGGAGAAAGUGAACAUGCUGUCUAUGACUGUGUUGGGUUUGAGAGUCCUGUUGGCAAAAAGUAUUGCCUUCAAUACACUCAUGAGUAUCAAGUUGUUUCUUUUCUGA
Non-coding RNA from Eurypyga helias (sunbittern), 587 nucleotides. The record is from the annotation of a RefSeq genome assembly. NCBI's taxonomy places the organism in Eukaryota, Metazoa, Chordata, Aves, Eurypygiformes, Eurypygidae.